This 215-nucleotide unclassified non-coding RNA is filed under the name plant metagenome. RNAcentral's name for it is "partial contains small subunit ribosomal RNA and internal transcribed spacer 1". The stretch from base 1 to 47 matches the Rfam family "Eukaryotic small subunit ribosomal RNA", at positions 1785 to 1831 of the family's 1831-position model. The record is from RNAcentral.
AAAGUCGUAACAAGGUUUCCGUAGGUGAACCUGCGGAGGGAUCAUUAACGAGUUAGGGUCCCCGGGCCCGACCUCCCACCCUUUGUUGUCGAACGAAUACGUUGCUUUGGCGGUGCCGCCGCCGGGUCCGCCCGGCGCGCAGCCCGCCAGGGGUCCAAACCACAACUCUUGACAUCAACCGUGCGGUCUGAGCGAAUUUGUAAAUAAAGUCAAAA